This 500-nucleotide ribosomal RNA is filed under the name Vibrio parahaemolyticus. Its description in RNAcentral is "partial 23S ribosomal RNA". It matches the Rfam family "Bacterial large subunit ribosomal RNA", at positions 457 to 958 of the family's 2925-position model. Lineage: Bacteria; Pseudomonadati; Pseudomonadota; Gammaproteobacteria; Vibrionales; Vibrionaceae. The record is from RNAcentral.
CCUCCAAGGCUAAAUACUACUGACUGACCGAUAGUGAACCAGUACCGUGAGGGAAAGGCGAAAAGAACCCCUGUGAGGGGAGUGAAAUAGAACCUGAAACCGUGUACGUACAAGCAGUAGGAGCAGGCUUUGUCCUGUGACUGCGUACCUUUUGUAUAAUGGGUCAGCGACUUAUAUUCAGUGGCAAGGUUAACCAUCUAGGGGAGCCGUAGGGAAACCGAGUCUUAACUGGGCGUUCAGUCUCUGGAUAUAGACCCGAAACCAGGUGAUCUAGCCAUGGGCAGGUUGAAGGUUGAGUAACAUCAACUGGAGGACCGAACCGACUAAUGUUGAAAAAUUAGCGGAUGACUUGUGGCUAGGGGUGAAAGGCCAAUCAAACCUGGAGAUAGCUGGUUCUCCCCGAAAGCUAUUUAGGUAGCGCCUCGGACGAAUACUACUGGGGGUAGAGCACUGUUAAGGCUAGGGGGUCAUCCCGACUUACCAACCCUUUGCAAACUCCG